Schistocerca cancellata (South American locust) is the source of this 353-nucleotide long non-coding RNA. RefSeq lists it as uncharacterized. The transcript has 3 exons. NCBI's taxonomy places the organism in Eukaryota, Metazoa, Arthropoda, Insecta, Orthoptera, Acrididae. The record is from RefSeq and is a predicted model, not a curated record.
CGUGCAUGUCUUCAAUGUGUUUGUGGUGCAGACGUAUUUCAGAUAGUUUACUUACAUGUACAAAGCGUCAUUUGUGACGAGCGGCGAGGGAUUACGAAUACGAGCUCGGAGCAUAGCCGCCACUGUGAAGGACAGCCGGACCCACCUUUAUGGAGGAAGUCAUUGAUGAUAUAAAGGAUGUUGCUGCACCAGAGACAUCAAAGCACAAGAAACGAAGGAACCGACGCCACAAGUCGCAAGAGGCCAGGACAGAGGAGCCGAGCGCUACAGUGGAAGCUGUGCCAAUCGACGCCGCAGACGCUGCCGCCGCCGCAGCCUGCGCUGCUGCUGCCUCGAUGGGAACACCUGCAGAG